CAAGAAGUAAAUGACUUGUUACGAUUGUUGUACAACCAACGACAAAAUGUGUGUCAGCUACCAGAUUAUUUACUAACAGACCUGUGAAUAAACCGUCAUGACACGCCAUCAAUUAGCAGUUUCCAGAUUUCUGCUAUUUCUGUCCCUCUUUGCCCUGCUGUGAUAAAACUGAUGAGACAUCACAGAGAAAUUAGUUUUGCUGCUCCAGCUCAGCGAACCGCUCUUCUUUUAAAUCCUACGUUUCAUUGGAAAGAAAAGCUGUCCGGAUGCUCAGAUGUAGUCCAAAACCACCAAAAUCAGGGUCUAAUGGAGUGGUGGUGGUAGUAGUAGUGCUUUAGGGCUGUUUCUGGGCAUGGAUCAUAUCAGAAUGUGGACAAAAUAAUAAAGAAGGAAAAUUCCUGACUGGAGUAGAAAUGGUUGUUCCAGCAAGACCAUGACCCAAAACACACAUCAAAAUGGGUUUGAAACAGCAACGUCAGGCUGAAGUUAUGCUUCUCAGAGUCGCCUUCUCAAAGUCCUGACCUCAAGUCUGCACCAGAAUACCAACAAAUGGUUGACUGAACUCCACCAGUCUUGUGCAAGAAGCUUGUGCAGUAUAUAAAUUCUCAAUUCUGAAAACAAGAUUGGAGAUUUUGUUAAAAAAAGGAUGAUUUGUUAAUUCUCUUGAUUUUUUAUUUAAUGGACAAAAUACAAAGGAAAUA
Long non-coding RNA from Trichomycterus rosablanca, 701 nucleotides. RefSeq lists it as uncharacterized. Lineage: Eukaryota; Metazoa; Chordata; Actinopteri; Siluriformes; Trichomycteridae. The transcript has 3 exons. The record is from RefSeq and is a predicted model, not a curated record.